GGGCGAGGAGAUUGUUUGCUCAGCAUUUUAAAGCCUCGUUCUCGGGAUCUACCUGCUGAGAAGAGGGUGAAGAAAAUGUCGACAGAGGGAGUAAUCCCUAGCUCGUGGCAGAAGGCAAUGAAUGCCAAUAUGUGGAUGUAGGAAUUGGGCACUAGCUGAGCGAAACCCACUCCUAUGAACCCUAGGAGGGUAACAACGAAAACGUGAAGGGGUAGACGAAUCCCCUUUUCUAGAAA
Molecule: long non-coding RNA, 236 nt
Filed under: Panax ginseng (ginseng)
Lineage: Eukaryota; Viridiplantae; Streptophyta; Magnoliopsida; Apiales; Araliaceae
Description: long non-coding RNA (PGIN_LNC013187)
Source: RNAcentral